GUUUGAUCCUGGCUCAGAUUGAACGCUGGCGGCAGGCCUAACACAUGCAAGUCGAGCGGUAGAGAGAAGCUUGCUUCUCUUGAGAGCGGCGGACGGGUGAGUAAAGCCUAGGAAUCUGCCUGGUAGUGGGGGAUAACGUUCGGAAACGGACGCUAAUACCGCAUACGUCCUACGGGAGAAAGCAGGGGACCUUCGGGCCUUGCGCUAUCAGAUGAGCCUAGGUCGGAUUAGCUAGUUGGUGAGGUAAUGGCUCACCAAGGCGACGAUCCGUAACUGGUCUGAGAGGAUGAUCAGUCACACUGGAACUGAGACACGGUCCAGACUCCUACGGGAGGCAGCAGUGGGGAAUAUUGGACAAUGGGCGAAAGCCUGAUCCAGCCAUGCCGCGUGUGUGAAGAAGGUCUUCGGAUUGUAAAGCACUUUAAGUUGGGAGGAAGGGCAGUUACCUAAUACGUGAUUGUUUUGACGUUACCGACAGAAUAAGCACCGGCUAACUCUGUGCCAGCAGCCGCGGUAAUACAGAGGGUGCAAGCGUUAAUCGGAAUUACUGGGCGUAAAGCGCGCGUAGGUGGUUUGUUAAGUUGGAUGUGAAAUCCCCGGGCUCAACCUGGGAACUGCAUUCAAAACUGACUGACUAGAGUGUGGUAGAGGGUGGUGGAAUUUCCUGUGUAGCGGUGAAAUGCGUAGAUAUAGGAAGGAACACCAGUGGCGAAGGCGACCACCUGGACCAACACUGACACUGAGGUGCGAAAGCGUGGGGAGCAAACAGGAUUAGAUACCCUGGUAGUCCACGCCGUAAACGAUGUCAACUAGCCGUUGGGAGCCUUGAGCUCUUAGUGGCGCAGCUAACGCAUUAAGUUGACCGCCUGGGGAGUACGGCCGCAAGGUUAAAACUCAAAUGAAUUGACGGGGGCCCGCACAAGCGGUGGAGCAUGUGGUGUAAUUCGAAA
RNAcentral lists this ribosomal RNA (950 nucleotides) under Pseudomonas sp. 01WB04.3-47. RNAcentral's name for it is "bacterial SSU rRNA". It matches the Rfam family "Bacterial small subunit ribosomal RNA", at positions 11 to 956 of the family's 1533-position model. The record is from RNAcentral. Lineage: Bacteria; Pseudomonadati; Pseudomonadota; Gammaproteobacteria; Pseudomonadales; Pseudomonadaceae.